GAAGCGCAGCCAAAAAUUCAGGAUCUAUGUCGUCUACUGGAGGUGGUUCAU
Molecule: small RNA, 51 nt
Filed under: Arabidopsis thaliana (thale cress)
Lineage: Eukaryota; Viridiplantae; Streptophyta; Magnoliopsida; Brassicales; Brassicaceae
Description: ATSL056290
Source: RNAcentral